Molecule: ribosomal RNA, 465 nt
Filed under: uncultured bacterium
Lineage: Bacteria
Description: partial 16S ribosomal RNA
Rfam family: Bacterial small subunit ribosomal RNA
Source: RNAcentral
CUACGGGGGGCACCAGUGGGGAAUAUUGGACAAUGGGGGAAACCCUGAUCCAGCAAUGCCGCGUGUGUGAAGAAGGCCUGCGGGUUGUAAAGCACUUUCGGUUGGGAGGACUGCUUCUAGCACUAAUAUUGUUGGAAGUUGACGUUACCUUCAGAAGAAGCACCGGCUAACUCCGUGCCAGCAGCCGCGGUAAUACGGAGGGUGCAGGCGUUAAUCGGAAUUACUGGGCGUGAAGCGCGCGUAGGCGGCUAGAUCAGUCGGGUGUGAAAGCCCCGGGCUUAACCUGGGAACUGCAUCCGAUACUGUCUAGCUUGAGUACAGGAGAGGAGAGUGGAAUUCCACAUGUAGCGGUGAAAUGCGUAGAUAUGUGGAGGAACACCAAUGGCGAAGGCAGCUCUCUGGCCUGAUACUGACGCUGAGGUGCGAAAGCGUGGGGAGCAAACAGGAUUAGAUACCCCGGUAGUC